RNAcentral lists this ribosomal RNA (492 nucleotides) under uncultured bacterium. Its description in RNAcentral is "partial 16S ribosomal RNA". It matches the Rfam family "Bacterial small subunit ribosomal RNA", at positions 29 to 507 of the family's 1533-position model. The record is from RNAcentral.
AGUGAACGCUGGCGGUAGGCCUAACACAUGCAAGUCGAACGGCAGCACAGUAAGAGCUUGCUCUUACGGGUGGCGAGUGGCGGACGGGUGAGGAAUACAUCGGAAUCUACUUUUUCGUGGGGGAUAACGUAGGGAAACUUACGCUAAUACCGCAUACGACCUACGGGUGAAAGCAGGGGAUCUUCGGACCUUGCGCGAUUGAAUGAGCCGCUGUCGGAUUAGCUAGUUGGCGGGGUAAAGGCCCACCAAGGCGACGAUCCGUAGCUGGUCUGAGAGGAUGAUCAGCCACACUGGAACUGAGACACGGUCCAGACUCCUACGGGAGGCAGCAGUGGGGAAUAUUGGACAAUGGGCGCAAGCCUGAUCCAGCCAUACCGCGUGGGUGAAGAAGGCCUUCGGGUUGUGAAGCCCUUUUGUUGGGAAAGAAAAGCAGCAGGUUAAUACGCCGCUGUUCUGACGGUACCCAAAGAAUAAGCACCGGCUAACUUCGUG